Molecule: long non-coding RNA, 1069 nt
Filed under: Equus caballus (horse)
Lineage: Eukaryota; Metazoa; Chordata; Mammalia; Perissodactyla; Equidae
Description: lncRNA (ENSECAG00000044970.1)
Source: RNAcentral
AUAAGAACAAUUAGUGACAUACAAAGAUGUUCAAAACUUAAUGUUUAUAAAAAAGUAAAAUUAUAAAACAGUAUGUUAAAAUAUGAUCAUAUAAAAAUCAAAUCAUGACAGAAAACAAAAUGCUAACAAUGGGUGACUUAUGUUGGAUAAAUAAUGUUAUUUUUAUUUCCUUAUCUAUACAAUCUGAAUUUUAGAUAAUAUUUCACAUACUUUUAGUUUUGAAAAUGUUACUUUACUUGAUUUGGUAAGAAUAUAGUGAUAGCCUUUCACUUAAUUCACCUUCAUGUCUACUAUGAUUAUGUCGUUAGUCAUCAAAGUUAUAGAAUACCAUAAUAAUUCACAAGGUCUAAUUAUUAAGUAUAAAUGAUUAAUAAUAACCUGUUCUAUCAAGCUAAGAAUAUAAAAUUAAAUACGAUAUCCAGCCUCUUCUCUAAGUUUUAUAAAUUAUCUCUUCUUCUAAUGUGACCCAAAUACUCAUAUCCAUGAAGACGAUAAAAUCAGAAAGGAACUUGCUUUCCAAUUAAUGUUUUCUCACAUGAUAAUCACUCUGGGUUCCAUUGUAUGACAGAUAGUUAUUUAUCCAUAUCUACUAUUUACUUUGAACUAUAGGCCAACUUAGGCUGACAACUGUGGAAGUCCAAAGAAUAUAAGUAAGAGUGGGUAUCAAGAGGAAAUCUACCAGAAUAUCAGCUUGAAGGAAAGCUAAAGAAUAAAUGUUAAGUGUCCUCUGUGUGUGUGUGUGUGUGUGUGUGUGUGUGUGUGUGUGUAUGAGAGAGAGAGAGAGAGAGAGAGAUUUGGGGAAAGGGUGCCCCUUGACAUAUAAAAGAUGCUCAUUUCCAUCUCACUAUUUGCCCCACAAGGCUCCAAAGCCUCCCAGAUCACGAGGCUCAAGUGCUCAUUCAUCACAUUCUAGAAAUUCCGAAGCAGGCUGCUCAGAAAAUCCUCACACAAUUUAGCAAUAUUCCCAAGAAUUACACCAAUCUGGCCCUUGAGGUUCUCCUUAUUCAGGUUUGGUUUCCUGAAAUCAAAAGCCCACCACAAACCAAAAGCAAAACCUAUUUCUACUCCC